This 301-nucleotide ribosomal RNA is filed under the name uncultured bacterium. RNAcentral's name for it is "partial 16S ribosomal RNA". It matches the Rfam family "Bacterial small subunit ribosomal RNA", at positions 509 to 807 of the family's 1533-position model. The record is from RNAcentral.
CAGUAGCCGCGGGAAUACGAAGGGGGCUAGCGUUGUUCGGAAUUACUGGGCGUAAAGCGCACGUAGGCGGAUAUUUAAGUCAGGGGUGAAAUCCCGCAGCUCAACUGCGGAACUGCCUUUGAUACUGGGUAUCUUGAGUAUGGAAGAGGUUAGUGGAAUUGCGAGUGUAGAGGUGAAAUUCGUAGAUAUUCGGAAGAACACCAGUGGCGAAGGCGGCUCACUGGACGACUGUUGACGCUGAGGUACGAAAGCGUGGGGAGCAAACAGGAUUAGAUACCCCGGUAGUCCCUGUCUCUUAUAC